CGGAGCUUCGGAGAAGAGAGUCUAGACCAGAUUUUCAGCCACUUUUACGCCGGGCUUCAAGCCUGUAUGAUCCAACGAGUAUGAAAUCUGCAGGUUGUGGGGAGGGUCCGUCCCCCUCCACCUUUUCAUUUUUUUUUCCCUAGAAGAACUCCAAGAUUAAAAGCAUCCUCCUUAUUUGUUGCCGAGUUGCUCGUCGACAUGUAAGAAAAGGUGAGUAGAAAAGGAAAGAAGACAAAAAGAAAAAAAAAAGUUGUCUUGCAGAAUUUUGUUUCAAGCGGCAGUUACGAGAAUUCAGUUUAGCCGGGGCGGGAAGGCUGAGAGAAAAAUAACAAUCUGGUCUCCGCCUGCGGAGGGUUUUCUACUAGAGAUCUUGAAAUUGCUGUUUCCGAGUUCCCCGUGCAGCGCCGCUGAGAAGUUCAUAGUGAUUUUUAGUUAUUCUUCCAGUUGUUCGUAUUUUCAAUAUUGUGUACGUAUUGUCGCCAAUAGGGUUAUUGUUGUUUUAAACAGCCUGUGUAGUAAGCGUCACUUCUCUUUUUAAAAAGAAACUCAAUUUCCUUGAUAAACGCUCCUUUUAUAAAGAUCAACUUGGAAACAAAUCUCUACAUUGCCGAGUUUAAACACUGAAGGUUUCUACCUUAUGCUGCCUUUACCACCACUUUUUUUUUCAUAAUGAUACUGUGAAGUGAGUUGGCAUCCCCCACAGCCUUUAUUUUGAAAAACUUCACGAGUAUUAAGAAAUAUAUAAAUUUCAUACUUGGCAAUGCAUUCGGGUAAAAAACAAUUCAGAGCGAUUGAUGAUUUCUGUAUUUUCAAACAGUUGGUAGGCUAAUAAUGGGUUGAUUAUUCCGUGAUAAUCUUGGGUUUUACAAAAGAAAGAAGGCUGAAACUCGAUUUUUCUUGUGGUUUAAUCCUUUGGGCAAGGCAGAAGUCAUUUUAACCCGAACUCCUUUCUUCCUUACUUUCUAAUAUUCUGUAACUUCUUUUGCAUUGUAUUGCAUACAUUAAAGCAAACUACAGGGAUAAUCUGGUUGAUGUAGGAGGGAGAUAGAAAUAGGACAUUUUAAGAUAGAGUCAGAGGGAAAAAACAAAAACAAAAAACCACAAUCAUCUUUAACUCCGAAGACUUCAGUUUAGAAGUGCGAGUGUUAAAAAUGAAGCCCGAAUGGAGGAAAGUCUGCAUGAUUUUAAAAUUCACUGAUUGCCUAAGGAGAGAAUCCCGAAUUUCAUGCGACUAAAGAGAUUUCACUUACCUAGUUGCAUUCAUUUAUGAAACUGUACGUGUAAAAUAGCAUCGCAGGGCAAUAGAUUACACACAAGAUCAAGGUGGAGGUGAUUCAGGGUGUCCGUUCUUGGUCAUUCUGAUGAAUUCAGACUAUUACUUUUAAUCACCAACUUGCUGAUGUUUUAUUAACAGAGCUAAAAAGCAUCUAAGAACUUCCUGAUAUCCCCCUACCUCCUUCAGUGUUGCCGGUCCGAUAGAAGCGAUUCCAAAGCAGUGGGGUACACACACUUUCUGAUUUCUAGCCUGAUAAUUAUGCUGCUGAUGCUCCAGUCUCACUCAGCCUCUGCACCCCCACCCAGGCGGAGAGGCUCAUCUGUUCUUCCACAUUUGGGGUGAAGGGAAAGUAGGUGGGGCAGGCCCUGGAGACAGGCGCGAGAUGGGGGUCGCAGGAGGCGGCGCACACCUCCGUCAACAGUCAGCUCCCUUUGCCCAGGCUGGAAAUGGUUUUAACAGGCGGUAAAAUUUCAUCUUGCGGUGUCAAAUUGGGGUCAUUUUGGGGUUAGAGUUCUCAGUGUCCGAGAGGAGCUGUCCAGCUGCGUGGGGACUCAUUAACUGCAAAAGAUCUGUUUCAGUAAAAACAAUUCAAAGACAAUCAGAAGGCUAAAGACCCUCUACAAAUCGCAUUUUACAAGUGCCCCAGAACAAAUAUGGAUGCUGAAACCUAUUUCUUCAGAAUCCCAAAUCUGCUACUUAGCUCUGGAGUGGGGGUGGGGCACUGCAUAAAAAAGAGGUGAAAGGGAGGGGACCUGAUCUCGUGGGGGGGGGGNNNNNNNNNNNNNNNNNNNGGGGGGUGGUGAAUGGGAGGGGGGAUGGGCCUCUCAAAUUUAAGAGUCUAGUCUGUUUUUAAUCACUUCUUUCUUAUUGAAGCAUCCCUAAGACUUCUGAGAACUCCUUCUUUUCUAUUUUUCCUCUUCUUUUUUGACUCAACAUGGAAUGCUAUUAUAGGUAACAUUUAAGAUUUAAAAAGAAUAUUUGAAUCCCAAUACAGUUACUCAAUUUAAAGGGCACUAGCUUUAUGGAGAGUACUUAAUUUGAAAUGAGCAUUUAUGAACCUAGACUCUAUUUUAGGUGAAUUGGCCCACCUUCCUUAGGAAGUCUGUGCUCCUGUUUGAUCUUUUUUUUUUUUUUCUUCCAGAAAGUUAUAGGUCCUCAGCACAGAUAACUUCAAAUUCCUCAGAACUGUGAGGUCCGAAGUGUUAAUCUGUGUAUUAAAAUCACUGGGUUUAAAUCCUUUUUGUCUUCCUACAAUAGUUAGAAUAAUUGACGGCUUGCUAGAGGAGCAAAUAAAUCCAACCUUAAUCUUAUUUGUAACUUUAGUUAAUGUUUUGAAUUGGGAGUAUUUUGGGUUAAGCAGGUGUGUGUGUGUGUGUGUGUGUGUGUGUGUGUGUGUGUGUGUAGGUUCUGUUUUUCUGUUUGCUGGUAUGGAAAAAAGAUAUCAUUCCUUUGAUUUUAAAAAUGUUUCAGUUAGAAGGAAAGUGCAGUUUUAAAGGAGAAGCUAGAUGUGUGCGAUGCUAGAGUUUUUAGAAUAAAACAAAAUCGAUACUUUGAAGUAUUAUUUGAAAGAAGUUUUCUUUCCUUCAUUACUGACCUGAGCAAGUAAAGAGGAUCAUAGUAUUUCAUUCUUUGUCACUCUCUCUUUGGACUUCACCUCUGUCACUAGGUCUUCUCUUUCCAUCUGUUUCACUGUUCUUUGAGGUCUGAACGCGACAGUGAAUUUUUGUAGUCUAAUUCUUUCUCCAAGCUUACCAAAGUCUUUAUAAAUUGUUAUUCAGGAUGUUUGAUUGCAGCCCUGCAGAGGCAGCCUUGAGCCCAGCAUCACUGGGACAAAGGCAGAGGGACUCUCUUCUGCUCCAGACCUGCUGGCUGACAGUUGGAAUUUUUGAUAUAUAUUUUAUUUGGCGGUUCCAAUAAUGUGUUUGCUUCUCCCUCCCCCAUUCCCUUGCAGCCAUCUAUUACGUUAAGAAUAUCUCUUCUCUAUAAACCUCAGCUCAUCCUUGUGAACUGUUCUUGACCUUCCCAGCCAUGUGCCAGCAUCUCUGGAAGUUGGACUAGGAAGAAUUACACUUCCUUCCUUACCUGUUAACUUUGCUCACUCUCUUCCUAGUUGGGAUCAAGAGAUAGAAGGGGACCUUUUUUGUUUGUUUUUUGGUCUUUUCCUCACUUCGGCUUUCUACCAUGUAUUCCCCCACCCCCAUUAAUAACAAGAAAGUACUCCAUAAUUUAUUGUCUUAACUAAGAUAUGGUAGAAUCAUUGUGCUUUCUUUCCUUUUACUCUAUCUUAUGUCUUAUUUCUCCCAAUUUUAGCUGCUUCACCAUCUCGCAGAAGUAAAGUAUUUCAAUAAAUAGCCCUCUAGCGCUAUCUGGCGGGGCUCCAAACACGACGUGCGCUCGCUCGCUCUCGCAGUCUCUGGCUCCUUCCCGCGCUCUCUUCCUUCCUCCCUUCUUCUUUCUCUUUCUCUAGUUUCUUUGGCUUACUAUCUUGAUCCUUUUCCUCUUCUUUCCUCCUGCUGCCCUUCUUCUAGCUCCAACCCCUACUCCCAGCGCAGAUGGCUUGGAAAGAUCCGGUCAGAGGCUGAUACCCUCAGAACCAGGUGAUGCUCCGGCAAAGGAGCUCUUACAGGGCUCCCACCUUCACCCAGUGUGGGUCACCCGCCACCUUUGUCUUUGAUUAGCAUGCGGGUGUUGCUGAAAAUGUUGCUUGUGUUCCAUCGUCUCAGCUGGUAGUGGUUUGGAGGGGAUUAAAACUGCAUUUGUGAAGUUUGGAGGAAAGAAAUCAGACACUGGAAUCCUGACUAGUGGAGACCAGCUAAGUUUUAGGUCGGGAGGCCUAGGCUCAGUGUGAGUUUAAAGAAAGGGUCCCAGAACUUCUCAGGGAAGGGGUUGGGGAGCAGCAGCUCUCGCCUGGACUUCGGAAGAACACUGGGCACUCAUUCUUCACCCCCAUCCCCAACACUUUCUCCUGCCUUCGGGAUGCCUAUAUCAUAUAAUGCGCUGCUCAAGUUUGUAUCCUAGGCCUGUCCAAGAUUUCUUUUUCAAAAUGAGCUAGCUUUUCCAGCCCCCACCCCAUGACCACACCAAAUUUAAAGAGCAGUGGGGAAGAAAAGUGGGAUGGAGAGAGAGCUCACUGGCGAGCCCACCGGGCAGAGAAGAGAAAGCCAACACAGAAACUGCAGGAACUCACGCUUGAGGAUGCAGUACUCACCAACGUCCUCCCGCCUUUCUCGAAGAGAUUUGUCUUAUUUCUUAUUGUGGUUUUUGUUAUUUUUUUUUAAACAGUAGCCUAUAAACCCUCAGCAGGGUGUGGAAAGCAAUCAGAGGGGAUAGGGGAGAAAGGAGAGAUUCAACUUCAGCUGGAUGCUUUAGAUACUCUCCUUAAAAUUCUUAUUCUCCACCCCCCACCCCCAGACACACACCACAUUCUAAGCCUUAGAAAAAUCUUCAGUUCUCCCUUUGAGCAAAUCUCCCAUGAAACUGAGGAAAGGAUAUUGGGCCUGGGGAAGAUUUAGACUCACUCAACUUUCUUGCAUUUUCUGAAAUUUAGUUUUGACCUUGCAAAGUAAAAGUGAAAACCAUAUUCCACCCAGCGGCUACUUGAAAUGAGGGGACCUCAGCCUGCAGUGUAUGUGAUCACCAAAGACCCCUUCCUAAUUCUGAAAUUCUGCCCCCUCCCCAUAAUCUCAAAAAAUGGAAUAGCAAGUAGGGUGUGUGUGUGACACAAUCGUAGGUUUUGUUUCUCAAGAUUUGCCUCCCCUCCAAGCCCCCCAACACCACAGGAAGAAACUGGUGUAAUUAAUUGAGGACUGUUAUGAGGUCAUCAUUAGCUAAGGUGCAAAUAAUUGCAGCCCAUUUUUACUUAAAAUUGACCAGCCCCAGAGUGAUAGAUCGAUUUGGAGUAUAAAAAUGAUGUAUCAAAACAUCAAUGUCGAUUAUUUGAAAUAUUGUAGUCGAAUUUUUGUAUUGCUUCAUCGGUUAAGUGUCUGAAAGUGCAGUGUUCAAACAUAUAUUUAUGUUGUCAAUACUGUCAGAACUGUCACUUCCACUAUCCUGGAUUUGUACUACAUUUCGAAUUUACUCAUUUACAUAAAAUGCCCACCCUAGGAUUCUCCCACCCCCAUUCCAUCUCUCUCUUUCCUCCCAUCUCUGGAAAAUCCGUGUCAGUUUCUUCAAAGGACUCAGUAAUCUUUGCCUAAGCUAAAGUGUGCACUGCCUCUUUUACUCAAUUUUCCACAUCGGAUUACAUGUCUUUUUCACCAUUUCUAACUUUCAAAGGGAGCCUUCCUCUUUCUUCCCAAUUCUGCCUACUCCAGCCUUUUCUCCGAAAUAGUAUGUAGCAUUUGGAAAGCUUCUGGUUUAAAUAUCCACAUCUCAGCUCCAAAUAAACCAGUUAGGUAGAAAAAUGGAAAAACCGGACUUCAACGUACCUCCACAGCGCACUCGUGUAAACCGGGCUGUUGCCGGGCACACGUCCUCCCACGUGUCAGAGUCCAUCAUCAAAUUACCUGGAAGACUGAAACCUUCCAGGGAAAAUGAACUUGAAAACAUAAAUACGUUUUCUUUUACUUAGAAGCUGUGAUAGGAGAAAAAGAAAUAAUACAUAUAAAUGAUCGGCACGCUUUACCUUUAAAAGCUUUUGAACUCAAUCAAAAGACACAAGUUGGAAGCAGAAUUGACAGUUUUAAUUCUACCCAUUUUCACCUGGCACGUCAGAUCAGAGGCAAUCAUUUAUUUUAGGGGGGGCGGGUGUAUGGGAAAGCCUGAUGGAAAGCUCGAAUCCACUGAAGUCUCUAUCCUAAAAAUCACAGAGAAAUUAAGACACUUACUGAAACGCAAACAUUCCAUUGCUCCACACUUAGUCUAAACUAAUUGAAAUUUAUAAAUUCACAUUCUGCCUAAUUUUAUGCUUUUUUAUUUUCUAGGAUUCCCUCCAAGUCUGACAGGAAAGACAGGGCCACUUCUGGAUGAGCUGUAAGGAUGCGUUUUCACUUCCACAACAUUGAAGCACUUUUUAUAAACCUUGUAUUGUACUUAAAUAAAUCUAUCUGGACAUUAAGAGAAGUGACUCAUACAACGAUAGCUUGGCUUUGUGCUGUCAAUCCUAGCAUUAAAAAAAAAAAAAAAUCCAGAAUCCUCCUGAGAAGCUUUUCCAUAUCCACUCAUUUCUCAAAACAAACAAACAAACAAACAAACAAGUAAAAACAAGAAAAACUAGAAAAGCAAAAGAAAGUUUACUGUAUGCAUCUGGGUGUCUUCUUGCGCAUUUAUAAAUGUCUCCCAGCCCCGCUUGCUGUGUUGCCUCCCUCCUGCCACACACUCCAAGGCAGAGGCAUCGAGGGAUCGCCCCCAGAGAGUUGUGUUUACUUAGGUUUUUUUAAUCUCUCCACCAUGUAUGACAAGUGUUACUUCAAGAAAUUCAUCAGCCUUCUACAGAUACUUCCAGGUUUUGCUGUAAUGAUCUGCAGAAGAGAACUGCCAUCACUUUCUCACAUCCCAAGGUGUUGCAGGAACUCAGAGAAAGGGGAGAGUGGCUGAAACGCUUAAUUACAGUGGGGGAGGGAGGAGCGCAAGGCGGGGACGGAGGGAGGAGGGAAAGGAGGAAGAUCCUUUACCUAGCCUGUACCUGGAGAGAGCUCUGAAUCCUCUCAGUGGAAAUUUGGGAAAGGUAUUGUUGCCUUUUUUUUUUUUUUAAUGCCUUUGGGGAGAAGUGAUACCCUUGUGUAACAAUUAG
RNAcentral lists this long non-coding RNA (7007 nucleotides) under Lynx pardinus (Iberian lynx). The record is from RNAcentral. Lineage: Eukaryota; Metazoa; Chordata; Mammalia; Carnivora; Felidae.